This 1417-nucleotide long non-coding RNA is filed under the name Cricetulus griseus (Chinese hamster). Its description in RNAcentral is "lncRNA (ENSCGRG00015042162.1)". The record is from RNAcentral. Lineage: Eukaryota; Metazoa; Chordata; Mammalia; Rodentia; Cricetidae.
UGGCCAGCCUGAGAUACAUAGUGUGUGAGACACUGUUUCAAAAAUCAACAAGAAGAAAAAACACCACUGGGUUUCUUUAAACAAUUUUAAUACAUUGUGUGCACGACUGUGUGGGGGCAUGCAACAUGUGCCACAGUGGGUAUGUGAAGAUCUGAGGACAGCUUUCUGCAGUCAGUUCUCUUUGUUUCGUGUGGAUUCCAGGAGUCAUCAACUUUGGCAGCAAACACUGUCUCCCUCAGAAUCAGCAGGCAUGGAACAACUGUAAGGACUCAGGUGACUGCUUGGCAACUCAAUCAACACCAAUGAUGGCUCAUCUUCAACUCUGUCUUUAGAAUAAAUAGAACCAGACCAGAGAGUGGGAGAUAGAGAGCUCAAAUGAGAAAUUAUGUGAAUAAUCUGUAAACAGAAAAGAAUGGUACCACCAUGUGGCAAUAGAAAAAGACAAGAUACAGAAAUUAUAUCCAACGUACCUAAAUGUCUAGUUCAUUUUGCCAGAGAACUUCAAGUUAGUGAAAUGGCAGGAAACACAACGACUUCUGAGUCUAGCACAAUGGUUCCCAAUGCAUGAAAUACCAGAACUAUCUUACAAAUACCCCUUAUAUUGUAAUACAGUAGUAUUGUGAUAGUAUUGUGAUAUCCCUUUACUAUCAAAAUUCAGAAUUUACACACUAGCAGUAAUUAUAACCAUUGGCACUAGCAUCCUCUGUUUGUCAUGUGUCAGCAGAUGUUCUGGGCAUGUAAGGUCUCAGCUGAAAAGAGGUAACCCCAAAACAAGCUUUCGUGGCUUCUUAAGUGCAGACAGUGUGGUGUGUUACCGUCUGUCUGCUUCCAUUAUGUAGAAGUAGAUUAUAUAACCCAAAACUUCAUCAUGAAUAAAGUGCUUAAAAGGAUUCCUUCAAAGGUCCUUCCAUGCAAUACCAUGCAAAGGAUGUGGGCAGAAACUAUCUAUACAGGAUGGCAGAAGUGACUCUGUGUCCCCUCCCAGUUACGAGCUUAAGCCAGCCCCAAAACAAGGCAGAAAUUCAUCAUGUCAAUCAAACCACGUGUUUUUAAACAGACAAGACUAAAAUUUACCCUAAAAUACUUAAGUCUGUUACCUGAUCUUCUUUAUCUUAGUCCUGUUCAUUUUUUCAUGGGUUUAUUGUGCAUAUUAAAUAUCUGAAAAAAGAGGUCAAAUAGUUAUUUUUUCAAAUAAAUAUACAUAAAAUUUAUUACUGCAGAGGUUUGUAAUAAAUAAAAAAGAACCAUUCCCUGUGGUGUUUUAUUUCCCUACUGUGUUAUUUUCCCCAGUUAGACCUCUGUGUUAGGCACCAAUGGAGCAUUGUUACACUGCUGAAGAUAACACCAAGGCAGAUGUCAUGGGACCACCUCCCUGUAUCUUUCUUUCCCCCUUUUUGUUUGAGACUGAACCAUACAG